CUCAGCCCACCGGCGGCGGCGGGCCCGCUCUAGAAAGGGAAACUGAGGCUCUGAGGAGCCGCCCCGCGCGGGCCCGCGGCAAGUUGGGGGUUGCCGGCGUAGCUGUGGUUACCGUGACUUGGGUGUGGCUCUUGGGCGGAAAGCCCCCGGGCCCAAGGCUGGGACGGAGAGGGGCAGCAGGGGCAGUGAAAGAGCUGCUGGGGAUUGGGGUCUGCCCCUGCCUGCUGUGUGACCUCAGGCAAAUCGCCUCCCCUCUCUGCGCUUGCCUUUAGCGCCCGCGAGUCUUGUCUUCCACGCUGAAAAAGGCGCUUUAAGUCUCCUUCUUAGUCGGGAGGGCCUUCAGUUCCGUCCUUGGAAAAUCAGGGAUAAUUCCUGUCCCCGAAGGUCGUGGUGAGACAAAAUAGGAUACAAAAAUUAGACAGGGUUUCACUCUGUUGCCCAUGCUGGAAUGCAGUGGUGUAAUAAUGGCUCACUGCAGCCUUGACCUCCUGGACUCAAGAGAUCCACCCACCUCAGCCUCCUGAGUAGCUGGGACUACAGGUGUGCACAACCACGCCCAGCUAAUUUCUAUAUUUCUUGUAGGGACAGGGUUUCGUCAUGUUGCCCAAGCUGGUCUCAAACUCCUGGGCUCAAGUGAUCUGCCCACCUCAGCCUCCCAAAGUGCUGGGAUUACAGGUGUGAGCCACCAUGUCUGGCCAAUUUUAAUUUAUA
RNAcentral lists this long non-coding RNA (711 nucleotides) under Homo sapiens (human). RNAcentral's name for it is "HSALNT0004496". The record is from RNAcentral. Lineage: Eukaryota; Metazoa; Chordata; Mammalia; Primates; Hominidae.